Molecule: microRNA precursor, 78 nt
Filed under: Schistosoma margrebowiei
Lineage: Eukaryota; Metazoa; Platyhelminthes; Trematoda; Strigeidida; Schistosomatidae
Description: mir-3492 microRNA precursor family
Rfam family: mir-3492 microRNA precursor family
Source: Rfam by way of RNAcentral
AGCCUUCUGUAUCUGUGCUGAGAUUUCAUCACACACCAGACCACAAAGGCUGAUGAGACUUCCAAGAUAAGUGGAGCG